Molecule: ribosomal RNA, 480 nt
Filed under: uncultured bacterium
Lineage: Bacteria
Description: partial 16S ribosomal RNA
Rfam family: Bacterial small subunit ribosomal RNA
Source: RNAcentral
AAUGAACGUUGGCGGCGUGGAUUAGGCAUGCAAGUCGAGCGCGAACCCCGCAAGGGGUGAAAGCGGCGAAAGGGAGAGUAACGCGUGGGUAUCUGCCCUCGGGACUGGGAUAGCUGCGGGAAACUGCAGGUAAUACCAGAUGACGUCCCCGGACCAAAGGUGUGGUUCCGCCCGAGGAUGAGCCCGCGUCCUAUUAGCUAGUUGGUAGGGUAAUGGCCUACCAAGGCAAUGAUGGGUACUGGGUGUGAGAGCACGACCCAGCUCACUGGGACUGAGACACUGCCCAGACACCUACGGGUGGCUGCAGUCGAGAAUCUUCGGCAAUGGGCGAAAGCCUGACCGAGCGACGCCGCGUGUGGGAUGAAGGCCUUCGGGUUGUAAACCGCUGUCAGAGGGGAGGAAUGGGCGGAGGGUAAUCUCUUCGUUUUGACCUAUCCUCAGAGGAAGUACGGGCUAAGUUCGUGCCAGCCGCCGCGGUAA